Long non-coding RNA from Acomys russatus (golden spiny mouse), 273 nucleotides. RefSeq lists it as uncharacterized. NCBI's taxonomy places the organism in Eukaryota, Metazoa, Chordata, Mammalia, Rodentia, Muridae. The transcript has 3 exons. The record is from RefSeq and is a predicted model, not a curated record.
CAGGUCAGGGCUGACAGAAACACUGCUCUCUGAAGUCGUUCACAAUACUUUUCUUCCUCCUAAUGGAAAAGGUUACUUCCCAACUUGUGACGAGGAGAGGCAUUUUGCUCUACCUGCACUCCUGACUCGCCUCAGGCUCAAAGCACAGAGCCAGCAAGAUCAUGAACUGGAGCCUCCAAGACUAUCCCACCCCGACGAGCAGCUCAUCCAUGUGCCUGGUUUAUUUAUAUGAAGACUUUUAUCUCCUCAAUAAAUCAUAAGCUUCUUUGAACA